CCCUUAGAUGUUCUGGGCUGCACGCGCGCUACACUGACGCACGCAACAGGUGCCUGCUCCGAGAGGACUGGGUAAUCAUUUGAGUGUGCGUCGUGAUGGGGAUAGAAUAUUGUAAUUAUUACUCUUCAACGAGGAAUUCCUAGUAAGCGCCAGUCAGCAGCUUGCGCUGAUUACGUCCCUGCCCUUUGUGCACACCGCCCGUCGCUCCUACCGAUGGGUGAUCCGGUGAAUGAUUCGGACUUCAGCGGCUCCCCUGGGGUGCGCCGGAGAAAGUUUUGUGAACCUUAUCACUUGGAGGAAGGAGAAGUCGUAACA
RNAcentral lists this ribosomal RNA (315 nucleotides) under uncultured eukaryote. RNAcentral's name for it is "partial 18S ribosomal RNA". It matches the Rfam family "Eukaryotic small subunit ribosomal RNA", at positions 1470 to 1796 of the family's 1831-position model. The record is from RNAcentral.